This 492-nucleotide ribosomal RNA is filed under the name uncultured bacterium. RNAcentral's name for it is "partial 16S ribosomal RNA". It matches the Rfam family "Bacterial small subunit ribosomal RNA", at positions 29 to 507 of the family's 1533-position model. The record is from RNAcentral.
AGUGAACGCUGGCGGUAGGCCUAACACAUGCAAGUCGAACGGCAGCACAGCAAGAGCUUGCUCUUACGGGUGGCGAGUGGCGGACGGGUGCGGAAUACAUCGGAAUCUACUUUUUCGUGGGGGCGAACGUAGGGAAACUUACGCUAAUACCGCAUACGACCUACGGGGGAAAGCAUGGGAUCUUCGGACCUUGCGCGAUUGAAUGAGGCGAUGUCGGAUUAGCUAGUUGGCGGGGUAAAGGCCCACCAAGGCGACGAUCCGUAGCUGGUCUGAGAGGAUGAUCAGCCACACUGGAACUGAGACACGGUCCAGGCUCCUACGGGAGGCAGCAGUGGGGAAUAUUGGACAAUGGGCGCAAGCCUGAUCCAGCCAUACCGCGUGGGUGAAGAAGGCCUUCGGGUUGUAAAGCCCUUUUGUUGGGAAAGAAAAGCAGCAGGUUAAUACCCCGCUGUUCUGACGGUACCCAAAGAAUAAGCACCGGCUAACUUCGUG